RNAcentral lists this non-coding RNA (27 nucleotides) under Cricetulus griseus (Chinese hamster). The record is from RNAcentral. Lineage: Eukaryota; Metazoa; Chordata; Mammalia; Rodentia; Cricetidae.
CUGCCUCCUGAGAGCUGGGAUUAAAGG